RNAcentral lists this transfer RNA (76 nucleotides) under Marmota monax (woodchuck). Its description in RNAcentral is "tRNA.Ala". Lineage: Eukaryota; Metazoa; Chordata; Mammalia; Rodentia; Sciuridae. The record is from RNAcentral.
GCUGGGGAAAUAGCUCAGUUGAUACAGUACUUGCCUAGCAUGCACAAGUUCCUGGGUUCAAUUCCCAGCACCAGCA